UCCAAGGGUUCAUUAAAGCUGACAAGCCAACUCCAGUGUUCAUCGCAGCACUAUAUGCAAGAGCCAAGACGUGGAAACAACCUAAAUGUCCAUCGCCAGAGGAGUGGAUCAAGAAGAUGGGGUACAUAGACACAAUGGAAUAUUACUCAGCCAUUAAAAGGAAAGAAAUAACGGCAUUUGCAGCAACAUGGAUGGACCUAGAAAUUAUCAUGCUAAGUGAAGUCAGUCAGACAGUGAGACACCAACAUCAUAUGCUGUCCCUUAUAUGUGGCAUCUAAAAAAAGGACACAAUGAACUUUGCAGAACAGAUACUGACUCACAGACUUUGAAAAACUUCUGGUUUCCAAAUGAGACAGGUUGGGGCGUUGGGGGCAAUGCGCUGGGGGUUUGAGAUGAAAAUGCUAUAAUUUGGUUGUGGUGAUCAUUGUACAGCUAUAAAUGUAAUAAUAAAAUUCAUUGAGUAAUAUAAAAAAAAGCUGACAAGCCAAAUAGUAGGAGAUUAAGUAAGGAGAAAGGAAGGUUCUGAACAUUAAAGAAGGUAUUAAUAUGAAGAUAAGCACUAGAACAAAAGUACCUCCUCUCUGAGAUAGAAAAAAAAGGCUGUAAAAUGAAUACAGCAUGAUAGUAAGUAAAAAUAAUAAACAGUGUGACAGGGUUGAGACUGAAUAUGUCAGUGAUAUAAAAAUAUAAAUGAGCUGAAAUUCAUCUAAAUGAAAGAAAAACAUUUGCAGUUUGGCUCUCAAGCAAAAUACAACUCUUUGCUGUAUACGAGAGACAUACCUAAAACAAAAGGAUCCAGAAAGACUGAAAUUAGCAGGAUGACUGAAAGACAUGUACGAGAAUGUUCUUAGGAGUUCCUGCUGUGGCACGGUGGGUUGAGGACCUGGAGUUCCUGCUGUGGCCUAGUGGGUUAAGGACCUGGAGGGGCCGCAGUUGUGGUGUGGGUUGCAGCUGUGGCUUGGAUUCGAAUUCUUGGUCCAGGAAUAUCUGUAUGCUGUGGGUGUGGCCGAAAAAGAAAAAAAAGUUCAGACUCAACCAAAAUACCCACUGGAAGUAGAGCGGAUAAAUGUAAAUUGUGUGUUUCCACAGAGUGGAAUACUACUCUCAUUAUUGGUAAGAAUAUAUAAUGUAGAAGGACAUGUAACAACAUGGAUGAAUCUCAUAAUCAUACUAUUAAGCAAAAGAGGCACAAAACGAGAGUCCAUAGUAUCUGAUCCCAUUUUUAACAUUUUUAUUCCAUUUUUAUUUCAGGUUUAUUGAGGUAUAAUUGAUACAUAAAAUCAUAAUAUAUUUAAAGUCUACAUCAUGGUGAGUCGAUAGAAGUAUACAUUGUGAAUUGGCCCCCUGUAUUGUUAAUUAAUACAUCCAUCACCUCCCAUCUUUAUCCUUUUUUGGAGGGGUCGGGGGGGGUGAGAACAUUGCAGUUCUACUCGCUUAGUAAAUUUCACUUGUGCAAUACAGUGACAUGUAUGAUUAGCAUCACCAUAGAUUCAUUCGGCAUGCUUUUUAAUGUCAUAUAACAUAUUUGUUAUAUGUGUAAUAUGUUAUACAUAACAUGAAACUUCAUAUAUGAAGUUUUUAUGUAUUUUCAUAUUAUAUAUGUCUAAUAUGUAAAUAUAAUAGAUGAAGUUUAAAAGCAGGCAGAACGAAUGUAUAGUGACAGCGAUCAGGAUUGUGGUCCCUCUUGGAGAAGGGUAAUGGCUAGAAAGGGAUGCAGGAGUUCCCUGAUAACUCAGCAGGUAGAGGAGUUGGCACUGUCACUGCUGUGGAGCCUGUUCAAUCUUUGGCCUCAGAGCUUCUCCAUGCCAGGGGUGUGGCCAAAAUAACCAACCAAACAAAAAAUACAGAAAAAUAGAAAGGGAUGCAAAGGAGCUUCUGGAGCACUAGGACACUGUUUCUCCAUCUGGGCACCAGUGGUGUGGUUUUAUUCCCUUUGUGGAAAUUCUUUAGGCUAGAAUGAGGCUAGAAUGUAUCCUUUCUAUAUGUGUUACAUUUUAAUAAAAGGCCCACACUUAAAAAUAUAAACUGUUUAUAGGCAAAAGACAAAGUGUAGGGUAAAGUUUAAUGGAAUAUUGGACUUAGUUGUUGGAGAGAGUGAUUUUAAAUUCCAAUUUAUAUGAACACUGUCUCUAGGCUAUUGAAGCCAUUUCCUUUUCCUUAGAUAUGUAAGGUUGCUCCCUAGGUUUGUUUUUCCCAUCUCCAAAUUAAAAAUAGAGUCUAGAAAAACAGGAUAGAGAAUUCAGAAGCAAAUCUAAAUCACACAGGAAUUUAGUGUAGAGUAAACCAUGGAAUUUCAAAUUGGUGCGAUGGGAGAGGAGAACUGACUUUUCAGUAGCUGGUUUUGAGACAACUGGUACCCGUUUAGAAAAAUUUUUAUUGAAUUCCUAUCUUCUUUAUAUGAAAGUAAAUUUUAGCUAGAUUAAAAUAUACAUGUAAAAAUGAAACCAUAAAAAUACUAAAAAAAUAUGGGAGAAUAAUUUUUAAAACCAUGGAAUAUAACCUAAGCAUGAUUCAGAAAAUUCAGGAGCCAUAUGAGAAAAGAUGGAUAAAUUUGAAAAGUUCUGCGUGGUUAAAAAAUUUACAGUCAAAAGGUAAACUGAGAAAAAUAUCUGCAGCCCAGAUGUAGGCUAAUUUCUUUUAUAGAUAACAUACUUACAGACAACAAAACGUGAAAAAAAUCAGAGUCCAAAAGAAAAAAUGAGCAAAGAGCAUUUGAUUCAAACAAAUAAACAAAAAUCACAAAGACAUUGCAGCAUACAAACAUACCGUGUAAGAAAAGAUGCCCUGAUCCCACCCAUAAUAGGAAAAUACAAAUAAAAUCACAACUACAGCACAUAAUCAUUUUCCUCAUAUUUGAUAAAAACCUUUGCUGGUACAUUGUGUUCCCAGGCUAGGGGUUGAAUCGGAGCUGUAGCCACUGGCCCACGCCAGAGCCACAGCAAUGCGGGAUCCGAGCCGCGUCUGCAACCUACACCACAGCUCACGGCAACGCCAGAUCCUUAACCCACUGAGCAAGGGCAGGGACCGAGCCCAAAACCUCAUGGUUCCUAGUCGGAUUCGUUAACCACUGCACCACGACGGGAACUCCUGAGAUGAAAAUUCUUAAAAAAAAUUUUUUUUAUUUCUCAGUUCUUAGGUUCUGCUGACCUAGCAGAGUCUUUCUAUGGGCAGCUAUAUAAACCUUUACCUAGAGAGGGACAUAAAGAAGCAUCUCUUCGAUAACUCUGGGUUUUUAGCGCAGAAGAAAAGAUACUGACCAGGGCCAGUGACUGGUGGAGGAUUGGUUGUAUCCCAGUAGGAUUGGUCUGUUUUUCUGUGGUGCGCUUUUUAGCUUUUUGUGUAACCAAAAAAUCCUCCUAGACUAUUCUCUGCCAACAGAGUUUUUUCUGAGAUGGAAGGCAACAGAUGUUUCUGUUGGAAAUUGGCAUCUGUCUCUCCCCACACUGCAGUGCCCUCCGAGCUGGGCCCAUGUAGCACUGAAUUCACAUUAGAACCUCUCUCAGGAGACUCCUGAUGAAGAACCUGUCAGACCCUAGUGACCCUGGAGGCCACGAGGAGAGGAGAGACGGAGGCACACCUUUGCAGGGGCCAAGACUCUCCCGAUACGGGAAGCCAGCGUUUGAGGCGUUUGAGAAUCCUUCAGCCUUUAGGAUUCUUUAGUUGACUAGGGUCUUAUAGCCUGACUCGCCCAGGGGUAAAAACAUCAAGGUAGAAAUCUGUCUUCUCAGAACAUACCCAGAAAUAGUGAUUCUCUAUUUUGAGUCUUUCCUUGGGCAGCACACCAAACAGGUGCCUUCGGUUAUAAAUUCAGUUUUUUUUUUUUUACAUGUGCACACUAAAUGCUAGGAAAUUCCCACCCUUUCCCUACCCCCUCGAUUGUCUCCUUUUUUUAAAAAAACUUUCAACUUCCCAUCCCCUGUUUCCCCCCUCCCACCCCCUCCCCCUAGGGCACCUCCAGAGACUGCCUCAAUGCAUUCUGGGUAGUGCUUGUGUGAAUUUUUCAGAAACACUUUAAGUGACAUUUAUUCCUUUUGUCUAAUUAGGAAAGCAACAUGUUUCUCAUAGACAAUCUGGAAAAUACAGGAGAGCAAGAUGAAGAAGAUUAUCAAGAGGGACUUUUAAACUUUUCUUUCAAACUGCCCUUUUCUCUCCAUCUUUGCAGCCACACACUCUUUUGCUCCACAUUUUGCAUCUCUGACGGUCUGGGACUUGGCACACUAUCCCAGACGGUCAGAGACCCGGAACCCUGUGUUAAAAGGGUGCCCAGGAGUUCCCAUCGUGGCUCAGCAGUUAACGUAUCCACUUAGGAACCAUGAAGAUGCAGGUUUGAUCCCUGGCCUUGCUCAGUGGGUUAAAGAUCCGGCGUUGCCAUGAGCUGUGGUGUAGGUCGCAGACGCGGCUCGGAUCCCGAGUUGCUGUGGUUGUGGUGGGGGUGGGGGGGCGCUACAGCUCCCUACAGACGUCUAGCCUGGGAAUCUCCAUAUGCCACCGUAGCAGCCCUAGAAAAGGCAAAAAGACCAAAAAAAUAAAAAAGGGUGCCCAGAUACAGUGGGCAGCUCCAGCUUGCCUCUGAAGCCUUGCAGAAUGGGAGAAAGUACAGCAUCCCUGGACGAUGUUUGGCUCUGGUCCCCUCCCAAGAAGGGUGGUUGCUGGGAGGAACGACGAAGGAGUGGUGUGUACCACACUGUUGCAGGAGUUUGUCCUCCCCAUACCUGGGCAGCUUUUACUCUUGGAGGGGGAAAGAGGAUGUCUGGGGGAUGUGUGUUUUCUACCAGCAUUCACGCUCUGUCACCUUGGCUUUCCUCCGUGACCUUGCCUCUUUAGGAUGGAAGCUCUUUGUUGUGAAUACUCAUUGUUCAUGCCGUUGUAUUUUUCCGAGAAGAACUGGGAUCCAGAGUGAGAAUCCUUCUGCCUGAAGCCUUUGCACUUGUGCUUUUGGCUAGUUCCCAGCAGAUCAUGGCAGUAGCAAUCAGUGGCAGAGAGGUCUGAUGUCAUUUCAGUUGCUGACCGACCCAGGCCCUGGAGCAGCCCGUCUUGAGGACAGCAGUGUGAAAGCUCAAAAGAGACAGUCCUAGUUUUGAUGACCUUCAGACUACAGGCUUCUGUGGGGACUUUUCAUUUUCAUAAAAACCCUUUUGUGUGGAGUUUCCAUCGUGGCUCAUCAGAAACAAAUCUGACUAGCAUCCAUGAGGAUGCAGGUUUGAUCCCUGGCCUCACCAGAGGUUGAGGGUUCAGGAUCCGGCAUUGCCAUGAGCUGUGAUGUAGGUCGAAAAUGUGACUCGGAUCUGGCUACACAGUUGGCUGUGGCUGUGGCCGGCGGCUACACCUCCCAUUCAACCCCUAGCCUGGGAACCUCCAUAUGCUGUGGGCACGGCCCUGAAAAGACACACACGCACACACGAAAAAACCCUUCUGUGGUUGAGAGAUGAGAACCCAGGAGCAGUUCCAAUUGAUUCUAUUUUUGUGACAUUAGGUAUGUGUUUCUACGAAGAGAAUUGGACCUUGGGCUUGGGAAGAUAUUCAUCAUGGGGCAGGAGCUUUGCAGAAUUCCCUUGCUCCUGGUUUGUAUCGUUUUUUUUGGGGGGGGGUGUGGCGGUAUGAAGUUCCCAGGCCAGAGAUUAGAUCUGAGCCACAGUUGUGACUUACACCACAGCAGUGGCAAUCCCAGAUCCUUUAACGCACUGUGCCGGGCCGGGGAUUGAACCUGCAUCCUAGUGCUGCAUUGAUGUGGUCAAUCCCGUUGCACCACAAAUGCGCAUGCCAGUUUCUAUGAUUCCCUCCCCCCGUUUCACCCAGUCCGUGUGAUACCCUCAUAUCUUUUCCUAUACUUUUAUUCCUUAUUCCCUCUGAAAAUUUUGUGUCUUUUAGAACAGAAUAGGGGGAAAGGGAGAGAAACAGGCUUAUUAAUAAUUAUGGUAGUUUAAAAAAAAAUUCUUGGUGAAUAACCUCCCUUGCAGAUUGUAAUUUUUCAGAGAAGAAUAUGAUGUAAAAAUUUUUUUCUACUAUCCUCUUGCCAGAACAGCUCAUGGAGAAGCAUGUAUGUGUUCCCAAGCGUUGCUAACAACCAUCUGAUUUCUCUCUGCUUCUGCCUUGUCCCCUUAACUUACCUCUUUGUCCACUCUGGGGGUUGCGGUGACAAGUAGGUACAAAGAAGCCAUUAAGAGUGACCUGGAGGGGAGUUCCUGUCAUGGAGCAGUGGAGGGGAAGCCGACUAUAGUUCGAUCCCUGGCCUCGCUCAGUGGGUUAAGGAUCCAACGUUGCCAUGGGCUGUGGUGUAGGUCGCAGAUUCAGCUAUGAUCUGGCAUUGCUGUGGCUGUGGCUUAGGCCAGUGGCAACAGCUCUGACUAGACCCCUAGCCUGGGAACCUCCGUAUGCCUUGGGUGCAGCCCUCAAAAUACAAAAGAAAAAAAAAAAGAGUGACCUGGAGAGAGUUCCCGUUGUGGCUCAGGGAGUUAAAAACCCCCGACUAGUAUCCGUGAGGACGUGGGUUUGAUCCCUGGUCUUGCUCAGUAGUUAAGGAUCCGACAUUGCCGCAAGCUGCAGUGUAGGUUGUAGACAAGCGGCUCUGAUCCAGUGUUGCUAGGGCUGUGGGAUAGGCCAGCAGCUGUAGCUCUGAUUUGACCCCUCCUCGCCUGGGAACUUCCAUAUGCUGCAGGGGCAGCCCUAAAAAGCAAAAAAA
This 6679-nucleotide long non-coding RNA is filed under the name Sus scrofa (pig). Its description in RNAcentral is "lncRNA (ENSSSCG00015071705.1)". The record is from RNAcentral. Lineage: Eukaryota; Metazoa; Chordata; Mammalia; Artiodactyla; Suidae.